This 1656-nucleotide ribosomal RNA is filed under the name Zschokkella sp. IE-2005. Its description in RNAcentral is "SSU rRNA". It matches the Rfam family "Eukaryotic small subunit ribosomal RNA", at positions 21 to 1664 of the family's 1831-position model. Lineage: Eukaryota; Metazoa; Cnidaria; Myxozoa; Bivalvulida; Myxidiidae. The record is from RNAcentral.
GGUCAUAUGCUCGUCUCAAAGAUUAAGCCAUGCAUGUCUAAGUUCAUAUCGAUUUAAAAGAUGAAACUGCGAAGGGCUCAGUAAAUCAGUUAUCGUCCAUUCGAUCAUAAAAGCCAUGGAUAACUGUGGCAAAUCUAGAGCUAAUACAUGCAAAUGUGGCGGUGGCAACACUGCUGCAGCAUUUAUUGGACUGAACCAAACAGGCGCACGCGUUUAACGUGGGUGCCUGCAGGUGAAUCUAGAUAACUUUGCAUAUCGCACGGCUAGUCCGGUGAUAGUUCGAUCGAAUUUCUGCCCUAUCAACUAGUUGGUAAGGUAGUGGCCUACCAAGGUUGUGACGGGUAACGGGGAAUCAGGGUUCGAUUCCGGAGAGGGAGCCUGAGAAACGGCUACCACAUCUAAGGAAGGCAGCAGGCGCGCAAAUUACCCAAUCCAGACACUGGGAGGUAGUGACGAGAAAUACCAAAGUGUGCCUUCGGGUAUCACUAUUGGAAUGAACGUAACAUAGUACCUUCGAUGAGUACCCACUGGAGGGCAAGUCUGGUGCCAGCAGCCGCGGUAAUUCCAGCUCCAGUAGUGUAUAUCAAAAUUGUUGCGGUUAAAACGCUCGUAGUUGGAUUACAGACGUGCCGCGUCAGCUGAGCAAUAUAGUUUGGUUGGCGGGGCGCGUUUUUAUCGCAAGAACCACCGGUGCGCUUAACCGUGUAUGGGUGGCCACUUGCGGAGCGUGCCUUGAAUAAAGCACAGUGCUCAAAGCAAGCGUAACGCUUGAAUGUUUUAGCAUGGAACGAAUAGCCCGACUCGACGGAAGGGUGGCGGCUACGGCGGAAACGCGCAGUGGUCGUGACUCACGCCGUCUCAAGUUCAGUUGUUGGUUCUCUGAACUGGGUCAUGAUUAAAAGGGGCAUUUGAGGGCGUUAGUACUUGGUGGCGAGAGGUGAAAUUCUUAGACCCACCAAAGACUCACUAAUGCGAAAGCAUUCGCCAAGAAUGUUUUCAUUGAUCAAGAACGAAAGUUAGAGGUUCGAAGACGAUCAGAUACCGUCCUAGUUCUAUACAGUAAACUAUGCCACCACGGGAUCAGUCCGGAACGAUCCAGGUUGGUCCCCCCAGGAAACUUGAAGUGUUCGGGUUCCGGGGGGAGUACAGUCGCAAGUCCGAAACUUAAAGGAAUUGACGGAAGGGCACCACCAGGAGUGGAGCCUGCGGCUUAAUUUGACUCAACACGGGGCAACUCACCAGGUCCAGACAUUGAAAGGAUCGACAGACUGAUAGAUCUUUCGAGAUCCAAUGAUUGGUGGUGCAUGGCCGUUCUUAGUUGGUGGAGUGAUCUGUCAGGUCUAUUCCGGUAACGAGCGAGACCACGAUCUCUAUUUGAUUGCAGCAGCCCUGCAAGGGGCGGUUGGUCAUAGAGAGACUACCGGAAUACAAGCCGGGGGAAGCGUGGCAAUAACAGGUCUGUGAUGCCCUUCGAUGUUCUGGGCCGCACGCGCGCUACAAUGGCAGUGACAACAAGUGUCUGCGUCGAGAGACGUGGAAAAUCUUGACAAUCGCUGUCGUGAUUGGGAUUGAGCCUUGUAAUAAUUGCUCAUGAAAGAGGAAUUCCUCGUAAGCGCGAGUCACCAACUCGUGUUGAAUACGUCUCUGCCCUUUGUA